GUAACCCUGCUGUGUUUGUGAACCGCCGUAUACAGUUUUGAGCUAACACUUUUAACUCGGGAGCUUGAUCUCUGUCUGUAGCGCAUAAGCCUCCUUUGCAGAGGACAUGUAAAGCUGACAGGAGGGCACCCACCUGUGGAGAGAGCAGUUCAAAACUAACGGUACCUCACGGCAUUGUGGGGUUUUU
RNAcentral lists this non-coding RNA (187 nucleotides) under Clostridium sp. RNAcentral describes it as "6S RNA". It matches the Rfam family "6S / SsrS RNA". Rfam says of the family: E. coli 6S RNA was the first non coding RNA to be sequenced, but its function was unknown until recently. It consists of 184 nucleotides that fold into an extended hairpin structure with a large single-stranded internal bulge. The 6S RNA specifically associates with RNA polymerase holoenzyme containing the sigma70 specificity factor. The record is from RNAcentral. Lineage: Bacteria; Bacillati; Bacillota; Clostridia; Eubacteriales; Clostridiaceae.